GGGUUGUGAGGUUAAGCGACUAAGCGUACACGGUGGAUGCCCUGGCAGUCAGAGGCGAUGAAGGACGUGCUAAUCUGCGAAAAGCGUCGGUAAGGUGAUAUGAACCGUUAUAACCGGCGAUGUCCGAAUGGGGAAACCCAGUGUGAUUCGUCACACUAUCGUUAACUGAAUACAUAGGUUAACGAGGCGAACCGGGGGAACUGAAACAUCUAAGUACCCCGAGGAAAAGAAAUCAACCGAGAUUCCCCCAGUAGCGGCGAGCGAACGGGGAGCAGCCCAGAGUCUGAAUCAGCUUGUGUGUUAGUGGAACGGUCUGGAAAGUCCGACGGUACAGGGUGAUAGUCCCGUACACCAAAAUGCACAGGUUGUGAACUCGAAGAGUAGGGCGGGACACGUGGUAUCCUGUCUGAAUAUGGGGGGACCAUCCUCCAAGGCUAAAUACUCCUGACUGACCGAUAGUGAACCAGUACCGUGAGGGAAAGGCGAAAAGAACCCCGGCGAGGGGAGUGAAAAAGAACCUGAAACCGUGUACGUACAAGCAGUGGGAGCACCUUAGGGUGUGACUGCGUACCUUUUGUAUAAUGGGUCAGCGACUUAUAUUCUGUAGCAAGGUUAACCGUAUAGGGGAGCCGCAGGGAAACCGAGUCUUAACUGGGCGUUAAGUUGCAGGGUAUAGACCCGAAACCCGGUGAUCUAGCCAUGGGCAGGUUGAAGGUUGGGUAACACUAACUGGAGGACCGAACCGACUAAUGUUGAAAAAUUAGCGGAUGACUUGUGGCUGGGGGUGAAAGGCCAAUCAAACCGGGAGAUAGCUGGUUCUCCCCGAAAGCUAUUUAGGUAGCGCCUCGUGAACUCAUCUUCGGGGGUAGAGCACUGUUUCGGCUAGGGGGUCAUCCCGACUUACCAACCCGAUGCAAACUACGAAUACCGAAGAAUGUUAUCACGGGAGACACACGGCGGGUGCUAACGUCCGUCGUGAAGAGGGAAACAACCCAGACCGCCAGCUAAGGUCCCAAAGUCAUGGUUAAGUGGGAAACGAUGUGGGAAGGCACAGACAGCCAGGAUGUUGGCUUAGAAGCAGCCAUCAUUUAAAGAAAGCGUAAUAGCUCACUGGUCGAGUCGGCCUGCGCGGAAGAUGUAACGGGGCUAAACCAUGCACCGAAGCUGCGGCAGCGACACUAUGUGUUGUUGGGUAGGGGAGCGUUCUGUAAGCCUGCGAAGGUGACCUGUGAGGGUUGCUGGAGGUAUCAGAAGUGCGAAUGCUGACAUAAGUAACGAUAAAGCGGGUGAAAAGCCCGCUCGCCGGAAGACCAAGGGUUCCUGUCCAACGUUAAUCGGGGCAGGGUGAGUCGACCCCUAAGGCGAGGCCGAAAGGCGUAGUCGAUGGGAAACAGGUUAAUAUUCCUGUACUUGGUGUUACUGCGAAGGGGGGACGGAGAAGGCUAUGUUAGCCGGGCGACGGUUGUCCCGGUUUAAGCAUGUAGGCUGGUUAUCCAGGCAAAUCCGGAUAAUCAAGGCUGAGGUGUGAUGACGAGGCACUACGGUGCUGAAGUAACAAAUGCCCUGCUUCCAGGAAAAGCCUCUAAGCAUCAGGUAACAUCAAAUCGUACCCCAAACCGACACAGGUGGUCAGGUAGAGAAUACCAAGGCGCUUGAGAGAACUCGGGUGAAGGAACUAGGCAAAAUGGUGCCGUAACUUCGGGAGAAGGCACGCUGGUGUGUAGGUGAAGCCCCUGCGGGUGGAGCUGAGACCAGUCGAAGAUACCAGCUGGCUGCAACUGUUUAUUAAAAACACAGCACUGUGCAAACACGAAAGUGGACGUAUACGGUGUGACGCCUGCCCGGUGCCGGAAGGUUAAUUGAUGGGGUUAUCCGUAAGGAGAAGCUCUUGAUCGAAGCCCCGGUAAACGGCGGCCGUAACUAUAACGGUCCUAAGGUAGCGAAAUUCCUUGUCGGGUAAGUUCCGACCUGCACGAAUGGCGUAAUGAUGGCCAGGCUGUCUCCACCCGAGACUCAGUGAAAUUGAACUCGCUGUGAAGAUGCAGUGUACCCGCGGCAAGACGGAAAGACCCCGUGAACCUUUACUAUAGCUUGACACUGAACAUUGAGCCUUGAUGUGUAGGAUAGGUGGGAGGCUUUGAAGCGUGGACGCCAGUCUGCGUGGAGCCAACCUUGAAAUACCACCCUUUAAUGUUUGAUGUUCUAACGUUGGCCCCUAAUCGGGGUUGCGGACAGUGUCUGGUGGGUAGUUUGACUGGGGCGGUCUCCUCCCAAAGCGUAACGGAGGAGCACGAAGGUUAGCUAAUCCUGGUCGGACAUCAGGAGGUUAGUGCAAUGGCAUAAGCUAGCUUGACUGCGAGCGUGACGGCGCGAGCAGGUGCGAAAGCAGGUCAUAGUGAUCCGGUGGUUCUGAAUGGAAGGGCCAUCGCUCAACGGAUAAAAGGUACUCCGGGGAUAACAGGCUGAUACCGCCCAAGAGUUCAUAUCGACGGCGGUGUUUGGCACCUCGAUGUCGGCUCAUCACAUCCUGGGGCUGAAGUAGGUCCCAAGGGUAUGGCUGUUCGCCAUUUAAAGUGGUACGCGAGCUGGGUUUAGAACGUCGUGAGACAGUUCGGUCCCUAUCUGCCGUGGGCGCUGGAGAAUUGAGGGGGGCUGCUCCUAGUACGAGAGGACCGGAGUGGACGCAUCACUGGUGUUCGGGUUGUCAUGCCAAUGGCACUGCCCGGUAGCUAAAUGCGGAAGAGAUAAGUGCUGAAAGCAUCUAAGCACGAAACUUGCCCCGAGAUGAGUUCUCCCUGAGACUUUAAGUCUCCUGAAGGAACGUUGAAGACGACGACGUUGAUAGGCCGGGUGUGUAAGCGCAGCGAUGCGUUGAGCUAACCGGUACUAAUGAACCGUGAGGCUUAACCUUACAACGCCGAAG
Molecule: ribosomal RNA, 2923 nt
Filed under: Klebsiella quasipneumoniae
Lineage: Bacteria; Pseudomonadati; Pseudomonadota; Gammaproteobacteria; Enterobacterales; Enterobacteriaceae
Description: 23S ribosomal RNA
Rfam family: Bacterial large subunit ribosomal RNA
Source: RNAcentral